GCCUGUGCAUAAAAUGCAGUGGGCCGAUCCGUCCGCAAGAACCGUUUUGAGCCCACCCGACAAAAGUCGGGUUAUUCGGAUCCACGUCAUUAACAGGUUGAACCAAAUUAAUAUCGGUCGAAACUGAUACCGUUAGUGCGUUUUGAACCAAGCCAGACCUCUUCUUCCCUUUGUUUCACAAACCCUAGCCAGUGCACCACUCCAUUGGGCAUCGCAGUUCGUCGUCACCGUCGUCUUCACCAUUUGUCGUCGCCGUCGUCUUCACCGUUCGUCGUCGCCGUCCAAGCGAAUUCACUUGCAAAAUGGUGGAUUAAAAUGGGAUGCAGGGGAAUUUUGUUGCUGCCUUACAAAUUAUGUUUAUUUUGUAUAGGUUUUAAUGGUUUUAACAGCAAUUGCAUAGAAAAAUAUGUUUAUUUUGCAGUUUUUCUCUUGAUAGUUUUGUACUAGUGUUUUGCUCACUUCUUAGUAAUGAAAUGAUAUUGAUUUGUAUGG
This is a long non-coding RNA of Carya illinoinensis, 492 nucleotides long. RefSeq lists it as uncharacterized. The transcript has 2 exons. NCBI's taxonomy places the organism in Eukaryota, Viridiplantae, Streptophyta, Magnoliopsida, Fagales, Juglandaceae. The record is from RefSeq and is a predicted model, not a curated record.